This is a long non-coding RNA of Talpa occidentalis (Iberian mole), 408 nucleotides long. RefSeq lists it as uncharacterized. Lineage: Eukaryota; Metazoa; Chordata; Mammalia; Eulipotyphla; Talpidae. The transcript is spliced from 3 exons. The record is from RefSeq and is a predicted model, not a curated record.
GCCAUCCCAGUCCCUCUGACCUCCAGAAUCUUGGGGCUUCCCUGGCGACCCAAAGUGCCCAGGAUAAGGCCCCAGAAUUUAGCUGAGCGGGCGGUGGCUAUGGCUUCUUGGCGAUUGGCCUGCAUAUGCUGAUGGUCAUACUGCUCUCUGGACAGAACUUUGCUGUAUGGGUCAUAUCUGGAAAAGAAGCAUCUGUCAGGAUCGUGGUGACAGCCACUUAAGAGACAUGCUGCACACCCAGCUCUGACUCAGCCUUUGGUCUCCUGAAUCUUCAGACUACAUGCAGGGUAUAGCUUUCUGGUAUACAGAGCAACGGAGAGGGGGUCAGGAAACCUGAAAUCAUAUCUGUCCUCAUUCUGCAGGAUGACCUUGAACACACAGUCAGGGGCCCAGCCUGCUCUACCACCA